RNAcentral lists this microRNA precursor (62 nucleotides) under Scyliorhinus torazame (cloudy catshark). RNAcentral describes it as "Sto-Mir-30-P2b_pre stem-loop". It matches the Rfam family "mir-30 microRNA precursor family", at positions 1 to 60 of the family's 77-position model. Rfam says of the family: This family consists of the mammalian microRNA (miRNA) precursor mir-30a. The record is from RNAcentral. Lineage: Eukaryota; Metazoa; Chordata; Chondrichthyes; Carcharhiniformes; Scyliorhinidae.
UGUAAACAUCCUACACUCUCAGUUGUGACAAUGGGAAAAGCUGGGAGAAGGUUGUUUACUCU